AAACGGCCGCGGCACUUCGACCGCGCAAAGGCAGCAUAAUCAUCAGUUUUUUAAUCGAAAGCUGGAAUGAAAGGUUGGAUGAGAAAAUAACUGUCUCUAAUUAAAUUAUUUUGAAUUUUAUCUUUAAGUAAAAAAGCUUAAAUAAGAGCGGAAGACGAGAAGACCCUAUAGAGUUUUAUAUAUUUAUAUUAAAGAAAGAUGUUUAGAAUUAAUUUUUUUUUGGUAUAAAUAUAUUUAGUUGGGGUGAUUGAAAAAUUAAACAAACUUUUUUUUUAUGAUAACAUUAAUUUAUGAUUAAAUGAUCCUUAAUUUAAGAUUACAAGAUAAAAUUACCUUAGGGAUAACAGCGUAAUUUUUUUAAAGAGUUCAAAUCGAAAAAAAAGAUUGCGACCUCGAUGUUGGAUUAAAAUAAAAUUUUGGUGUAGGGGCUAAAGUAUUUGGGUCUGUUCGACCCUUAAAAUUUUACAUGAUCUGAGUUUAAACCGGUGU
RNAcentral lists this ribosomal RNA (489 nucleotides) under Leptopius sp. 1 MVD-2017. Its description in RNAcentral is "partial 16S ribosomal RNA". It matches the Rfam family "Bacterial large subunit ribosomal RNA", at positions 1925 to 2622 of the family's 2925-position model. Lineage: Eukaryota; Metazoa; Arthropoda; Insecta; Coleoptera; Curculionidae. The record is from RNAcentral.